GAUGAACGCUGGCGGCGUGCCUAAUACAUGCAAGUCGAGCGAACAGAUAAGGAGCUUGCUCCUUUGACGUUAGCGGCGGACGGGUGAGUAACACGUGGGUAACCUACCUAUAAGUCUGGGAUAACUUCGGGAAACCGGAGCUAAUACCGGAUAACAUUUGGAACCGCAUGGUUCUAAAGUGAAAGAUGGUUUUGCUAUCACUUAUAGAUGGACCCGCGCCGUAUUAGCUAGUUGGUAAGGUAACUGCGUACCAAGGGAACGAUGCGUAGCCGACCUGAGAGGGUGAGUAGCCAGCCUGGGAGUGAGACACGGUACAGACGCACACGGGUGGCACCAAUAGGCAAUCGUCCGCAACAGGCGAAAACCUGACGGAGCGACGCCGAGUCAGAGACGGCGGGUUUCGGCGCGUAAAAAUCUGUUAUUAGGGAAAAACAGACGUGGAAGUAACUGUGCACGUCUUGACGGUAACUGAUCAGAAAGCCACGGCUAACUACGUG
This 497-nucleotide ribosomal RNA is filed under the name uncultured bacterium. RNAcentral's name for it is "partial 16S ribosomal RNA". It matches the Rfam family "Bacterial small subunit ribosomal RNA", at positions 28 to 507 of the family's 1533-position model. The record is from RNAcentral.